GUGCUUUCUGUAAGGAUAAAAUUACAGAAAAGUGUUAAAUGUGCCAGCAGCUCUCUAAAGGUGCGCUCCUUUUUGUCUACUGAGUACAGAGACAUGUCCUUAUAUUUUUAAAGGAAAACACCUGUUUUAACUGGUUAACAUCUGUAUCGCAAAGAUUCACCCUUUCUCUGCAAUACUACAGCAAACAUUGGGAAGGCUAGGUAAUUACUUCUGGGGAUUAACUUCACCUUCAGGAAGUAUCUUUUAAAUCUUUUCAAGUCGUGUUUAUCAGAAUGGGGAAUCUAUAACAACUUUUAAAAUCAGCACUCACCUUUGAGAUGAAAAUUCCUGCUCAAGAAAUAGUUUUAUCCUCUUUAAAUUUAGAGAAAAGGAACCCAUAGUCGUUGCUGUUAAACCCACCCCCACACCCCAAAAAAACCAAUAACCAAUAGGUUAUCUUUGCUUAUGAGAUGCCAUACUGAUGGACUAAGAAGGAUUUCUUAUCAAUGUAUGUAUUAACGGAGUAGCUUUCCCAGAUCCUGGGUGUGUUUGUUGCUUUGGUAUUGACCUUUUAGUUUUAGGUGUAUAUUUAAAACAUUCGUUUUGUCAUUUUUAGCACCAGCUUUCCACCUCUAGCAUCUUUUUCACUUGGUUUAAGAGUUUACAGAAAGGUUAAGUAACAGGUAAAUUAAAACUGAGGAAGAGGAAAAUACACCUAUGUGAGUUCCAGAACCGUGGUCUUCAUAGAGUAUUAGGCUACUGUUUGUUAUUAAAUCUGAAUGUUAGGCUGUAUCUUUGGCAGAAGGAAAAGUGUGAAAAAGAGAUUCUCUGAAGCUAGAGAGGGAAGCCUAUUCAUCUGAUCUUUGGCGUGUUCUCUGUAUUUCAUGGCUCUUCAGCAUCUCAGUGUGGGAAUUUUACAGCAGGUUCAUAAAAACUGUAAAAACUGUUAUUUAACACUUAAUAUAAAUUAAUAGCAGAGGCUUUGCAGUAUUUUUUUUUUUCAUUUCAUUUGAUAGUAAACUGUUUAUGGUUAUCUUUUAAUUUUCUGUAUACUCUGUUGUGGGCUUUCGUAAUAAAUUGUAAAAAUACUAAAAGCUACCAUCAGAUGAAGUUAAAACGGGUUCAUAACUGUUGUAGCAGGAAGAUGCAGUUCUGUUUUAAUAAAGUUCUUAUUUAGGGCAUUUGAUAGCUGAAGAAAGCUAAAGAAACAGUUUGGGAUGGAGAUGCUGUCUGGACUCUAUAACAAAGCAGCCCAAAUGUAGUAACUGAUAGCAUUGAGAUCGAAUUGGUGGUGAUGUCUCAAAAUUCUGAAAACCAAUAGGGCCACCAGCACUGUUGGGUCACAGCUGUUGGUAAUAAAUCUGUGAAAAAUCUGACAGUGAAAUAGUUUCGGUACUUGGAGCUUUAAUCUAGCGGGUUCAUCAGUAGUACCAUUUGUAGUAUUUGUACUUCUCUUGUUUCUGAUUUUCAAACUUGUGUUUAUUUCUAGCAGCUACUGACAAUCAUAGCAUCUGGAAAUUUAUGACUGAUAUAAAUUGUAUUUACCAGGACAAUGUAUGGCUGCAGUAAAUAAUGUGUCCAAGGGCUGCAAGUCACAUGGACCCCACUUACUAUGAGUAACUGAACCAAAUAUAAGGGAAUUCUUGUGCUGUUGUUCAUCUGUGCUUUUUCUCGCCUUCUGAUCUGCCACUCUUCUCUGUUCUCACCACCACAUUCUGUCCCUUCUAAUUUCUCUUCCUCCACAUCAGUUCUGCACUGCAGCUUGUCACGUUCAGCCUGGCAGUUUUUCAGAACUCCUCAGGAGCCUCAGCUGUGCUGGAGCAGGGCCAUAUUCAGAGGUAUUCCUUCCAUGGAUGCCCUCAGCAGUGUGGGGAUGCAAGUUCCCUGCCUCCCCGAACACUGGAGUGCAAGGAUGACACAGGCUCACAAAAACACUACUUCAAAGGCAUCUCAGGAGACGUGUUAACCAAAGAAAGGGAUCACAGGGACUGGAUUUCAGUUACUGGUCACUGAUGCACUGUGCUGUCAUCCAAUAAAACUUGCUCAUUGUCUGUACAGUGGAACAUCUGUGCAUUUGUGAAAAUUAAAUACAGCUUUGAAUUGAA
This is a long non-coding RNA of Falco peregrinus (peregrine falcon), 2084 nucleotides long. RefSeq lists it as uncharacterized. Lineage: Eukaryota; Metazoa; Chordata; Aves; Falconiformes; Falconidae. The transcript is spliced from 2 exons. The record is from RefSeq and is a predicted model, not a curated record.